This 234-nucleotide long non-coding RNA is filed under the name Elaeis guineensis (African oil palm). RNAcentral's name for it is "long non-coding RNA (EGUI_LNC065079)". The record is from RNAcentral. Lineage: Eukaryota; Viridiplantae; Streptophyta; Magnoliopsida; Arecales; Arecaceae.
AUGUAUGUAUGUAUGUAUGUAUACAUAUAUAUAUUAAUGAUAGUAUCGACAGGAUCAAAAGGGCUCAAACCAAUGUUGAACAAGAGUUGUUCCUUCAGAAGUUCAGAGAGAAGGGGGGCUGGAUAGGCCUCGAGCUUAUUGGAGGCUUUGAGGUCAUCCCUUUCCAGGCUAGAAGCCCGACGGAUGGAAUCCCUCAGAGAGCCCCAGGGGGGUAAUCCCAGCUCUAAGGUCAGA